AUUGAACGCUGGCGGCAUGCCUUACACAUGCAAGUCGAACGGUAACAGGUUAAGCUGACGAGUGGCGAACGGGUGAGUAAUGUAUCGGAACGUGCCCAGUCGUGGGGGAUAACUGCUCGAAAGAGCAGCUAAUACCGCAUACGACCUGAGGGUGAAAGCGGGGGAUCGCAAGACCUCGCGCGAUUGGAGCGGCCGAUAUCAGAUUAGGUAGUUGGUGAGGUAAAGGCUCACCAAGCCGACGAUCUGUAGCUGGUCUGAGAGGACGACCAGCCACACUGGGACUGAGACACGGCCCAGACUCCUACGGGAGGCAGCAGUGGGGAAUUUUGGACAAUGGGCGCAAGCCUGAUUCAGCCAUGCCGCGUGCGGGAAGAAGGCCUUCGGGUUGUAAACCGCUUUUGUCAGGGAAGAAAAGGUUCUGGCUAAUACCUGGGACUCAUGACGGUACCUGAAGAAUAAGCACCGGCUAACUACGUG
This 477-nucleotide ribosomal RNA is filed under the name uncultured bacterium. Its description in RNAcentral is "partial 16S ribosomal RNA". It matches the Rfam family "Bacterial small subunit ribosomal RNA", at positions 30 to 507 of the family's 1533-position model. The record is from RNAcentral.